Molecule: long non-coding RNA, 304 nt
Organism: Hipposideros armiger (great roundleaf bat)
Lineage: Eukaryota; Metazoa; Chordata; Mammalia; Chiroptera; Hipposideridae
Exons: 3
Source: RefSeq, a predicted model, not a curated record
CUGUGGUCUUGAGGUUUGAAAUUCCCGGAGCAGCCAGUGUGGGGACAGUUCUUAAAGACUUUCUCAAGGGCCUGGAGAUAUCUGGCUGUCUGUCUAGAUAUCAGGACGAGCAACAAGCAGACUGACCAGGAGCUCCGUGUGCCCUGCAGGAUGUGUCAGUGGGCAGGCUUGCUCCAAUUGAAUGCUGUGGGGCCUACAGAGGUGGCGGAGGGCCCCAGUGUCCUGUUAAUGGGGCCUCAGUGAAGAGAGGUGAUAAACACAUACGGUCAGUGCAUGAUCCUGAACUGGAAAUCAGAAUGAGAAU